GUGCUGUGAGCUCGAUGAGUAGGGCGGGACACGUGGUAUCCUGUCUGAAUAUGGGGGGACCAUCCUCCAAGGCUAAAUACUCCUGACUGACCGAUAGUGAACCAGUACCGUGAGGGAAAGGCGAAAAGAACCCCGGCGAGGGGAGUGAAAAAGAACCUGAAACCGUGUACGUACAAGCAGUGGGAGCACCCUUUGGGUGUGACUGCGUACCUUUUGUAUAAUGGGUCAGCGACUUAUAUUCUGUAGCAAGGUUAACCGAAUAGGGGAGCCGGAGGGAAACCGAGUCUUAACCGGGCGUUAAGUUGCAGGGUAUAGACCCGAAACCCGGUGAUCUAGCCAUGGGCAGGUUGAAGGUUGGGUAACACUAACUGGAGGACCGAACCGACUAAUGUUGAAAAAUUAGCGGAUGACCUGUGGCUGGGGGUGAAAGGCCAAUCAAACCGGGAGAUAGCUGGUUCUCCCCGAAAGCUAUUUAGGUAGCGCCUCGUGAAUUCAUCUCCGGGGGUAGAGCACUGUUUCGGCUAGGGGGCCAUCCCGGCUUACCAACCCGAUGCAAACUGCGAAUACCGGAGAAUGUUAUCACGGGAGACACACGGCGGGUGCUAACGUCCGUCGUGAAGAGGGAAACAACCCAGACCGCCAGCUAAGGUCCCAAAGUCAUGGUUAAGUGGGAAACGAUGUGGGAAGGCCCAGACAGCCAGGAUGUUGGCUUAGAAGCAGCCAUCAUUUAAAGAAAGCGUAAUAGCUCACUGGUCGAGUCGGCCUGCGCGGAAGAUGUAACGGGGCUAAACCAUGCACCGAAGCUGCGGCAGCGACACUGUGUGUUGUUGGGUAGGGGAGCGUUCUGUAAGCCUGUGAAGGUGUGUCGUGAGGCAUGCUGGAGGUAUCAGAAGUGCGAAUGCUGACAUAAGUAACGAUAAAGCGGGUGAAAAGCCCGCUCGCCGGAAGACCAAGGGUUCCUGUCCAACGUUAAUCGGGGCAGGGUGAGUCGACCCCUAAGGCGAGGCCGAAAGGCGUAGUCGAUGGGAAACGGGUUAAUAUUCCCGUACUUGGUGUUACUGCGAAGGGGGGACGGAGAAGGCUAUGUUGGCCGGGCGACGGUUGUCCCGGUUUAAGCGUGUAGGUGUGUGUUCCAGGUAAAUCCGGUUCACUUUAACACUGAGGCGUGACGACGAGGCACUACGGUGCUGAAGCAACAAAUGCCCUGCUUCCAGGAAAAGCCUCUAAGCAUCAGGUAACAUCAAAUCGUACCCCAAACCGACACAGGUGGUCAGGUAGAGAAUACCAAGGCGCUUGAGA
This 1299-nucleotide ribosomal RNA is filed under the name Salmonella enterica. RNAcentral's name for it is "partial 23S ribosomal RNA". It matches the Rfam family "Bacterial large subunit ribosomal RNA", at positions 394 to 1695 of the family's 2925-position model. Lineage: Bacteria; Pseudomonadati; Pseudomonadota; Gammaproteobacteria; Enterobacterales; Enterobacteriaceae. The record is from RNAcentral.